GAUGAACGCUAGCGGCAGGCUUAACACAUGCAAGUCGAGGGGUAUUGGUUUUCGGACCAAGAGACCGGCGCACGGGUGCGUAACGCGUAUGCAAUCUACCUUUUGCAGAGGGAUAGCCCCAGAGAAAUUUGGAUUAAUACCUCAUAGUAUAGUACUUUGGCAUCAAGGAACUAUUAAAGUCACAACGGCAAAAGAUGAGCAUGCGUCCCAUUAGCUUGUUGGUAAGGUAACGGCUUACCAAGGCAACGAUGGGUAGGGGUCCUGAGAGGGAGAUCCCCCCACACUGGUACUGAGACACGGACCAGACUCCUACGGGAGGCAGCAGUGAGGAAUAUUGGACAAUGGGCGCAAGCCUGAUCCAGCCAUGCCGCGUGCAGGAUGACGGUCCUAUGGAUUGUAAACUGCUUUUAUACAGGAAGAAACACUACUUCGUGAAGUAGCUUGACGGUACUGUAAGAAUAAGGAUCGGCUAACUCCGUGCCAGCAG
Molecule: ribosomal RNA, 487 nt
Filed under: uncultured bacterium
Lineage: Bacteria
Description: bacterial SSU rRNA
Rfam family: Bacterial small subunit ribosomal RNA
Source: RNAcentral